This 496-nucleotide ribosomal RNA is filed under the name uncultured bacterium. RNAcentral's name for it is "partial 16S ribosomal RNA". It matches the Rfam family "Bacterial small subunit ribosomal RNA", at positions 28 to 506 of the family's 1533-position model. The record is from RNAcentral.
GAUGAACGCUGGCGGCGUGCCUAAUACAUGCCAGUCGAGCGAACAGACGAAGAGCUUGCUCCUCUGACGUUAGCGGCGGACGGGUGAGUAACACGUGGAUAACCUACCUAUAAGACUGGGAUAACUUCGGGAAACCGGAGCUAAUACCGGAUAAUAUAUUGAACCGCAUGGUUCAAUAGUGAAAGACGGUUUUGCUGUCACUUAUAGAUGGAUCCGCGCCGCAUUAGCUAGUUGGUAAGGUAACGGCUUACCAAGGCAACGAUGCGUAGCCGACCUGAGAGGGUGAUCGGCCACACUGGAACUGAGACACGGUCCAGACUCCUACGGGAGGCAGCAGUAGGGAAUCUUCCGCAAUGGGCGAAAGCCUGACGGAGCAACGCCGCGUGAGUGAUGAAGGUCUUCGGAUCGUAAAACUCUAUUACUAGGGAAGAACAAAUGUGUAAGUAACUAUGCACGUCUUGACGGUACCUAAGCAGAAAGCCACGGCUAACUACGU